CGCUGGCGGCGUGCCUAAUACAUGCAAGUCGAACGAACUCUGGUAUUGAUUGGUGCUUGCAUCAUGAUUUACAUUUGAGUGAGUGGCGAACUGGUGAGUAACACGUGGGAAACCUGCCCAGAAGCGGGGGAUAACACCUGGAAACAGAUGCUAAUACCGCAUAACAACUUGGACCGCAUGGUCCGAGCUUGAAAGAUGGCUUCGGCUAUCACUUUUGGAUGGUCCCGCGGCGUAUUAGCUAGAUGGUGGGGUAAUGGCUCACCAUGGCAAUGAUACGUAGCCGACCUGAGAGGGUAAUCGGCCACAUUGGGACUGAGACACGGCCCAAACUCCUACGGGAGGCAGCAGUAGGGAAUCUUCCACAAUGGACGAAAGUCUGAUGGAGCAACGCCGCGUGAGUGAAGAAGGGUUUCGGCUCGUAAAACUCUGUUGUUAAAGAAGAACAUAUCUGAGAGUAACUGUUCAGGUAUUGACGGUAUUUAACCAGAAAGCCACGGCUAACUACGUGCCAGCAGCCGCGGUAAUACGUAGGUGGCAAGCGUUGUCCGGAUUUAUUGGGCGUAAAGCGAGCGCAGGCGGUUUUUUAAGUCUGAUGUGAAAGCCUUCGGCUCAACCGAAGAAGUGCAUCGGAAACUGGGAAACUUGAGUGCAGAAGAGGACAGUGGAACUCCAUGUGUAGCGGUGAAAUGCGUAGAUAUAUGGAAGAACACCAGUGGCGAAGGCGGCUGUCUGGUCUGUAACUGACGCUGAGGCUCGAAAGUAUGGGUAGCAAACAGGAUUAGAUACCCUGGUAGCAUACCGUAAACGAUGAAUGCUAAGUGUUGGAGGGUUUCCGCCCUUCAGUGCUGCAGCUAACGCAUUAAGCAUUCCGCCUGGGGAGUACGGCCGCAAGGCUGAAACUCAAAGGAAUUGACGGGGGCCCGCACAAGCGGUGGAGCAUGUGGUUUAAUUCGAAGCUACGCGAAGAACCUUACCAGGUCUUGACAUACUAUGCAAAUCUAAGAGAUUAGACGUUCCCUUCGGGGACAUGGAUACAGGUGGUGCAUGGUUGUCGUCAGCUCGUGUCGUGAGAUGUUGGGUUAAGUCCCGCAACGAGCGCAACCCUUAUUAUCAGUUGCCAGCAUUAAGUUGGGCACUCUGGUGAGACUGCCGGUGACAAACCGGAGGAAGGUGGGGAUGACGUCAAAUCAUCAUGCCCCUUAUGACCUGGGCUACACACGUGCUACAAUGGAUGGUACAACGAGUUGCGAACUCGCGAGAGUAAGCUAAUCUCUUAAAGCCAUUCUCAGUUCGGAUUGUAGGCUGCAACUCGCCUACAUGAAGUCGGAAUCGCUAGUAAUCGCGGAUCAGCAUGCCGCGGUGAAUACGUUCCCGGGCCUUGUACACACCGCCCGUCACACCAUGAGAGUUUGUAACACCCAAAGUCGGUGGGGUAACCUUUUAGGAACCAGCCGCCUAAGGUGGGACAGAUGAUUAGGGUGAAGUCGUACAAGGUACCGGGUCAUA
Molecule: ribosomal RNA, 1506 nt
Filed under: Lactiplantibacillus plantarum
Lineage: Bacteria; Bacillati; Bacillota; Bacilli; Lactobacillales; Lactobacillaceae
Description: partial 16S ribosomal RNA
Rfam family: Bacterial small subunit ribosomal RNA
Source: RNAcentral